Molecule: long non-coding RNA, 382 nt
Filed under: Nicotiana benthamiana
Lineage: Eukaryota; Viridiplantae; Streptophyta; Magnoliopsida; Solanales; Solanaceae
Description: long non-coding RNA (NBEN_LNC015505)
Source: RNAcentral
UUAGCCUCAAGUGCCUCAAAUUCUUUCUUCAUGGCUUCUUGCCAUUCUGGAAUAGAGGCAGCUUGGUAUUAAGAUGAAGGUUUAGUAAUAGUAUUAUCAACUAGGGAAUGAAAGCAACUAGAUAAAGAAGCACUAGGGCCACACAAGAAAGGGGGAAGUUGACAAACAUAAGGCUGAAGAUGAGCAGGUGGGUGGUACAUUCUGGAAUAGAGGCAACUUGGUUGUAAGAUGAAGCUUCAGUAAUAGUAUUAUCAACUAGGGAAUGAAAGCAACUAAAUAAAGAAGCACUAGGGCCACACAAGGAAGGGGGAAGUUGAUAAACAUAAGGCUAAAGAUGAGCAGGUGGGAGGUGAUCCCUAGAGGAUCUUCUAAGGUGUGGAGC